GACGUAGGGCGCGAGCGUUGUCCGGAUUUAUUGGGCGUAAAGAGCUCGUAGGCGGCUUGUCGCGUCGUUCGUGAAAACUUGGGGCUUAACUCCAAGCGUGCGGGCGAUACGGGCAGACUUGAGUACUACAGGGGAGACUGGAAUUCCUGGUGUAGCGGUGAAAUGCGCAGAUAUCAGGAGGAACACCGGUGGCGAAGGCGGGUCUCUGGGUAGUAACUGACGCUGAGGAACGAAAGCGUGGGGAGCAAACAGG
Molecule: ribosomal RNA, 253 nt
Filed under: uncultured bacterium
Lineage: Bacteria
Description: partial 16S ribosomal RNA
Rfam family: Bacterial small subunit ribosomal RNA
Source: RNAcentral